RNAcentral lists this small RNA (633 nucleotides) under Entoloma turbidum. RNAcentral describes it as "eukaryotic LSU rRNA". The stretch from base 218 to 371 matches the Rfam family "5.8S ribosomal RNA". The record is from RNAcentral. Lineage: Eukaryota; Fungi; Basidiomycota; Agaricomycetes; Agaricales; Entolomataceae.
GACCUGCGGAAGGAUCAUUAGUGAAAUAUACGGAGGCUCUUCUGAGCUCCGGAUCUUCACCUCCUCACACUUGUGAACUGUCUACUCAGAGCUCCUGGAAGUAAGCUCUGGCGGGGGUCGGGUUUUUGUUAACUUGGCCCUUUGCUAUGAGCUCCGGGGUGCGCUGUCCUUAUAAACUCUAAAGUCAUCGAAUGUAAUAAGUUUAAUAAACAAAUAAAACUUUCAACAACGGAUCUCUUGGCUCUCCCAUCGAUGAAGAACGCAGCGAAAUGCGAUAAGUAAUGUGAAUUGCAGAAUUCAGUGAAUCAUCGAAUCUUUGAACGCAUCUUGCGCUCCUUGGUAUUCCGAGGAGCAUGUCUGUCUGAGUGUCAUGAAAUUCUCAACCCUUUGAUUUAUUUUGAAGGGCUUGGAUCAUGAGCGCUGCGGGCCCCAGCUGGGGUCGGCUCGCUCGAAAUAGAUCAGCGGUUAACCUUAGGUUUACUGGCCUGACUCGACGUGGUAGAGUGACUUUAUUCGUCGAGGAUCCCUGCUUGCGGGGAGCCACUGAACUUUGAGGCCGCUCCUAAUUGCGUAUGCACUCUUUUGGUUUAGACCUCAGAUCAGGCAGGACUACCCGCUGAACUUAAGCAUAUC